CGCAAGCCUGACGGAGCAACGCCGCGUGAGGGAGGAAGGCCUGUGGGUUGUAAACCUCUUUUCUCAGGGAAGAAGAUCUGACGGUACCUGAGGAAUCAGCAUCGGCUAACUCCGUGCCAGCAGCCGCGGUAAGACGGAGGAUGCAAGCGUUAUCCGGAAUUAUUGGGCGUAAAGCGUCCGUAGGCGGCUAAUCAAGUCUGCUGUCAAAGCCCACAGCUCAACUGUGGAGAGGCAGUGGAAACUGAAUAGCUAGAGUGUGGUAGGGGCAGAGGGAAUUCCUGGUGUAGCGGUGAAAUGCGUAGAUAUCAGGAAGAACACCAGUGGCGAAGGCGCUCUGCUGAGCCAUAACUGACGCUGAUGGACGAAAGCUAGGGGAGCG
This 379-nucleotide ribosomal RNA is filed under the name uncultured cyanobacterium. RNAcentral's name for it is "bacterial SSU rRNA". It matches the Rfam family "Bacterial small subunit ribosomal RNA", at positions 376 to 770 of the family's 1533-position model. Lineage: Bacteria; Bacillati; Cyanobacteriota. The record is from RNAcentral.